UACGGAGGGGGCUAGCGUUGUUCGGAAUUACUGGGCGUAAAGCGCACGUAGGCGGAUCGCUAAGUGAGGGGUGAAAUCCCAGGGCUCAACCCUGGAACUGCCUUUCAUACUGGCGAUCUUGAGUUCGAGAGAGGUGAGUGGAAUUCCGAGUGUAGAGGUGAAAUUCGUAGAUAUUCGGAGGAACACCAGUGGCGAAGGCGGCUCACUGGCUCGUAUCUGACGCUCGGGCGCGACAGCGUGGGGAUCAAACAGG
Molecule: ribosomal RNA, 253 nt
Filed under: uncultured bacterium
Lineage: Bacteria
Description: partial 16S ribosomal RNA
Rfam family: Bacterial small subunit ribosomal RNA
Source: RNAcentral